Non-coding RNA from Macaca mulatta (Rhesus monkey), 195 nucleotides. The record is from RefSeq and is a predicted model, not a curated record. NCBI's taxonomy places the organism in Eukaryota, Metazoa, Chordata, Mammalia, Primates, Cercopithecidae.
AGUGCCUUUCACCUCCUGCCAUGAUUCUGAGGCCUCCCCAGCCAUGUGGAAAUGUGAGGACCCAGUGUUCACCCCUCCUGCCACGUGAGGAUGCCCAGCAAGAUGGCCCUCACCAGAUAUCAAAUGCCAGAACUUGAUCUUGGACUUCCCAGCCUCUACAACUAUGAGAAAUAAAUUUCAAUUGUUCAUACAUUA